AACGCUUCUUUUCCCACCGGAGCUUGCUCCACCGGGAAAAGAGGAGUGGCGAACGGGUGAGUAACACGUGGGUAACCUGCCCAUCAGAAGGGGAUAACACUUGGAAACAGGUGCUAAUACCGUAUAACAAUCGAAACCGCAUGGUUUCGUUUUGAAAGGCGCUUUACGGUGCCGCUGAUGGAUGGACCCGCGGUGCAUUAGCUAGUUGGUGAGGUAACGGCUCACCAAGGCCACGAUGCAUAGCCGACCUGAGAGGGUGAUCGGCCACAUUGGGACUGAGACACGGCCCAAACUCCUACGGGAGGCAGCAGUAGGGAAUCUUCGGCAAUGGACGAAAGUCUGACCGAGCAACGCCGCGUGAGUGAAGAAGGUUUUCGGAUCGUAAAACUCUGUUGUUAGAGAAGAACAAGGGUGAGAGUAACUGUUCACCCCUUGACGGUAUCUAACCAGAAAGCCACGGCUAACUACGUGCCAGCAGCCGCGGUAAUACGUAGGUGGCAAGCGUUGUCCGGAUUUAUUGGGCGUAAAGCGAGCGCAGGCGGUUUCUUAAGUCUGAUGUGAAAGCCCCCGGCUCAACCGGGGAGGGUCAUUGGAAACUGGGAGACUUGAGUGCAGAAGAGGAGAGUGGAAUUCCAUGUGUAGCGGUGAAAUGCGUAGAUAUAUGGAGGAACACCAGUGGCGAAGGCGGCUCUCUGGUCUGUAACUGACGCUGAGGCUCGAAAGCGUGGGGAGCAAACAGGAUUAGAUACCCUGGUAGUCCACGCCGUAAACGAUGAGUGCUAAGUGUUGGAGGGUUUCCGCCCUUCAGUGCUGCAGCUAACGCAUUAAGCACUCCGCCUGGGGGAGUACGACCGCAAGGUUGAAACUCAAAGGAAUUGACGGGGGCCCGCACAAGCGGUGGAGCAUGUGGUUUAAUUCGAAGCAACGCGAAGAACCUUACCAGGUCUUGACAUCCUUUGACCACUCUAGAGAUAGAGCUUCCCCUUCGGGGGCAAAGUGACAGGUGGUGCAUGGUUGUCGUCAGCUCGUGUCGUGAGAUGUUGGGUUAAGUCCCGCAACGAGCGCAACCCUUAUUGUUAGUUGCCAUCAUUUAGUUGGGCACUCUAGCAAGACUGCCGGUGACAAACCGGAGGAAGGUGGGGAUGACGUCAAAUCAUCAUGCCCCUUAUGACCUGGGCUACACACGUGCUACAAUGGGAAGUACAACGAGUCGCGAAGUCGCGAGGCUAAGCUAAUCUCUUAAAGCUUCUCUCAGUUCGGAUUGUAGGCUGCAACUCGCCUACAUGAAGCCGGAAUCGCUAGUAAUCGCGGAUCAGCACGCCGCGGUGAAUACGUUCCCGGGCCUUGUACACACCGCCCGUCACACCACGAGAGUUUGUAACACCCGAAGUCGGUGAGGUAACCUUUUGGAGCCAGCCGCCU
RNAcentral lists this ribosomal RNA (1422 nucleotides) under unidentified. RNAcentral describes it as "bacterial SSU rRNA". It matches the Rfam family "Bacterial small subunit ribosomal RNA". The record is from RNAcentral.